GGGGCUGUAGCUCAGUGGAUAGAGCAAGCGUUUCCUAAAUGCUAGGCCGGAGGUUCGAGUCCUCUCAGCCCCG
This 73-nucleotide transfer RNA is filed under the name Chloroflexota bacterium. RNAcentral describes it as "Chloroflexi bacterium tRNA-Arg". It matches the Rfam family "tRNA". From Rfam's summary of the family: Transfer RNA (tRNA) molecules are approximately 80 nucleotides in length. Their secondary structure includes four short double-helical elements and three loops (D, anti-codon, and T loops). Further hydrogen bonds mediate the characteristic L-shaped molecular structure. tRNAs have two regions of fundamental functional importance: the anti-codon, which is responsible for specific mRNA codon recognition, and the 3' end, to which the tRNAs corresponding amino acid is attached (by aminoacyl-tRNA synthetases). tRNAs cope with the degeneracy of the genetic code in two manners: having more than one tRNA (with a specific anti-codon) for a particular amino acid; and 'wobble' base-pairing, i.e. permitting non-standard base-pairing at the 3rd anti-codon position. RNAcentral also lists the same sequence under 2 other names. Lineage: Bacteria; Bacillati; Chloroflexota. The record is from RNAcentral.